CCCAAGAGCGCAGGGACUCAGCUCUGUGGGAUGGAGCAGGUGGAGUGGGUGGAAGCAAGUAGGGUGGAGUCUACUGUGGUCUCCAAAGAUGGAUGCCAAGAAAAUCUGCAGCAGGCUCUGUCUCCUGGCCAAUACCCAGGCCUCGGGCACUUGCUGACUGCCUUGAAUUUGGGCCAGAAGGAGAGGGAAAGGAAAAAAGAAGCAAGAAAAGAUGAAGUGCAUGUUCUCAAAGCCUCGGCCUCGCCCAUCCACACUGUCUAAUUAUCAGCUGGGCCUCCUGCUCACAAGAGAUGUGUGAGCCUCAAGUUGGCCAAGUUCUCUCACCUGCAGCUUCCCAAACACUUGGAAGGCCAGUAAUUGCCCAGUAAUUACCCCGUUUAUUGCCUCAUUACGGGUGACCACUUCUUGGCAGGCAUUUCCCUGGGAAGGUCUCCUCCCAGCUCAGGCUUCUCAGCGCCGGCAAGGGAGCAGGCAGGCCUGCUAGGUUCUGGUGUGCAGACUUGCUGAAUUGCACCCCCAUAGUCACCCUCACGCCACCGCAGCUUGCCCUGCUCCUGGCCCCGCACCAAGCCCUCUGCCUCCGCUUUCACUAAUGAUUACCUAGGUUGGGUAGGACGUACGAGGACCACUUCCUACCCUUUAACAGUAGCCCAUCUCCUGAUUCCUGACUCCAUCACAAUGGCCAUGGCUCCACCAGGAGUCUCCUUAGCAUCUGAUCCUAAACCUCUCCUGAUUCAAAGGCUUGGAUCAAAGGGCCCAUCUGGGGUCCUUUAGGUUCUAAACACCUUGACACCUCCUGGUUCUGACAGCUUCUCUAUCUUACCCUGGAUUCUGGAGCAGCCACUCUGAAUACAUCUCCUACUCCAGUCCCUGCUGUGAACAGUAGACCACUUGGGAAUAAGUGUGUAGCUUUGGAGCCAAGAAAGAUCACUAUAACAUGGACCCUUCAUACAGAUCCUGACCCAGACACAUGGCCGCUCCUACUAUUACACACACGUUCAGGCUGGGCCCCAGGAAAUCAGCAAGCAGCCCACGUAGCUGAGAACAGCCAGGCAACCCCUCCUGACCUGAGAUUACUGCUAAUGAUAAGAGCUGGAAGCACAGCUCCAUGCACGUGAGGAAGGACCGCUGGA
Molecule: non-coding RNA, 1133 nt
Organism: Odocoileus virginianus texanus
Lineage: Eukaryota; Metazoa; Chordata; Mammalia; Artiodactyla; Cervidae
Source: RefSeq, a predicted model, not a curated record